RNAcentral lists this ribosomal RNA (440 nucleotides) under uncultured bacterium. RNAcentral's name for it is "partial 16S ribosomal RNA". It matches the Rfam family "Bacterial small subunit ribosomal RNA", at positions 338 to 795 of the family's 1533-position model. The record is from RNAcentral.
CCUACGGGAGGCUGCAGUGGGGAAUAUUGGACAAUGGGGGGAACCCUGAUCCAGCGACGCCGCGUGAGUGAAGAAGUAUUUCGGUAUGUAAAGCUCUAUCAGCAGGGAAGAAAAUGACGGUACCUGACUAAGAAGCCCCGGCUAACUACGUGCCAGCAGCCGCGGUAAGACGUAGGGGGCAAGCGUUAUCCGGAUUUACUGGGUGUAAAGGGAGCGUAGACGGUGCAGCAAGUCUGAUGUGAAAGGUCGGGGCUCAACCCCGGGACUGCAUUUGAAACUGUUGAACUGGAGUACAGGAGAGGUAAGCGGAAUUCCUAGUGUAGCGGUGAAAUGCGUAGAUAUUAGGAGGAACACCAGUGGCGAAGGCGGCUUACUGGACUGUAACUGACGUUGAGGCUCGAAAGCGUGGGGAGCAAACAGGAUUAGAUACCCCUGUAGUC